AUUGAACGCUGGCGGCAUGCUUUACACAUGCAAGUCGAACGGCAGCGCGGGGGCAACCCUGGCGGCGAGUGGCGAACGGGUGAGUAAUAUAUCGGAACGUACCCAGAAGUGGGGGAUAACGUAGCGAAAGUUACGCUAAUACCGCAUACGAUCUACGGAUGAAAGUGGGGGACCUUCGGGCCUCAUGCUUUUGGAGCGGCCGAUAUCUGAUUAGCUAGUUGGUGAGGUAAAGGCUCACCAAGGCGACGAUCAGUAGCUGGUCUGAGAGGACGACCAGCCACACUGGAACUGAGACACGGUCCAGACUCCUACGGGAGGCAGCAGUGGGGGAAUUUUGGACAAUGGGGGGCAACCCUGAUCCAGCAAUGCCGCGUGAGUGAAGAA
Molecule: ribosomal RNA, 384 nt
Filed under: uncultured bacterium
Lineage: Bacteria
Description: bacterial SSU rRNA
Rfam family: Bacterial small subunit ribosomal RNA
Source: RNAcentral